CGGGAUGUAGCUCAGCCUGGCUAGAGCGCCUGCUUUGGGAGCUGGAGGUCGCAGGUUCGAAUCCUGUCAUCCCGA
RNAcentral lists this transfer RNA (75 nucleotides) under Planctomycetaceae bacterium. Its description in RNAcentral is "tRNA-Pro". It matches the Rfam family "tRNA". From Rfam's summary of the family: Transfer RNA (tRNA) molecules are approximately 80 nucleotides in length. Their secondary structure includes four short double-helical elements and three loops (D, anti-codon, and T loops). The record is from RNAcentral. RNAcentral also lists the same sequence under 1 other name. Lineage: Bacteria; Pseudomonadati; Planctomycetota; Planctomycetia; Planctomycetales; Planctomycetaceae.